CCUACGGGAGGCAGCAGUGAGGAAUAUUGGUCAAUGGACGAGAGUCUGAACCAGCCAAGUAGCGUGAAGGAUGACUGCCCUAUGGUUUGUAAACUUCUUUUAUAUGGGAAUAAAACGUUCCACGUGUGGGAUUUUGUAUGUACCAUAUGAAUAAGGAUCGGCUAACUCCGUGCCAGCAGCCGCGGUAAUACGGAGGAUCCGAGCGUUAUCCGGAUUUAUUGGGUUUAAAGGGAGCGUAGGUGGAUUGUUAAGUCAGUUGUGAAAGUUUGCGGCUCAACCGUAAAAUUGCAGUUGAAACUGGCAGUCUUGAGUACAGUAGAGGUGAGCGGAAUUCGUGGUGUAGCGGUGAAAUGCUUAGAUAUCACGAAGAACUCCGAUUGCGAAGGCAGUUCACUGGACUGCAACUGACACUGAGGCUCGAAAGUGUGGGUAUCAAACAGGAUUAGAUACCCCAGUAGUC
RNAcentral lists this ribosomal RNA (460 nucleotides) under uncultured bacterium. RNAcentral describes it as "partial 16S ribosomal RNA". It matches the Rfam family "Bacterial small subunit ribosomal RNA", at positions 338 to 795 of the family's 1533-position model. The record is from RNAcentral.